GACGAACGCUGGCGGCGUGCCUAAUACAUGCAAGUCGAACGAGAGCGACCGGUGCUUGCACUGGUCAAUCUAGUGGCGAACGGGUGAGUAACACGUGGGUAACCUGCCCAUCAGAGGGGGAUAACAUUCGGAAACGGAUGCUAAAACCGCAUAGGUCUUCGAACCGCAUGGUUUGAAGAGGAAAAGAGGCGCAAGCUUCUGCUGAUGGAUGGACCCGCGGUGCAUUAGCUAGUUGGUGAGGUAACGGCUCACCAAGGCCGUGAUGCAUAGCCGACCUGAGAGGGUGAUCGGCCACAUUGGGACUGAGACACGGCCCAAACUCCUACGGGAGGCAGCAGUAGGGAAUCUUCCGCAAUGGACGCAAGUCUGACGGAGCAACGCCGCGUGAGUGAAGAAGGUUUUCGGAUCGUAAAACUCUGUUGUUAGAGAAGAACAAGUGCUAGAGUAACUGUUAGCGCCUUGACGGUAUCUAACCAGAAAGCCACGGCUAACUACGUGCCAGCAGCCGCGGUAAUACGUAGGUGGCAAGCGUUGUCCGGAUUUAUUGGGCGUAAAGCGAGCGCAGGCGGUUCCUUAAGUCUGAUGUGAAAGCCCCCGGCUCAACUGGGGAGGGUCAUUGGAAACUGGGGAACUUGAGUGCAGAAGAGGAGAGUGGAAUUCCAUGUGUAGCGGUGAAAUGCGUAGAUAUAUGGAGGAACACCAGUGGCGAAGGCGACUCUCUGGUCUGUAACUGACGCUGAGGC
RNAcentral lists this ribosomal RNA (743 nucleotides) under uncultured Bacilli bacterium. Its description in RNAcentral is "bacterial SSU rRNA". It matches the Rfam family "Bacterial small subunit ribosomal RNA", at positions 28 to 752 of the family's 1533-position model. The record is from RNAcentral. Lineage: Bacteria; Bacillati; Bacillota; Bacilli.